AGAAGAGGUAAGAGCAUGCGAAACUGAUAAGGCGAUCUUACUUUUGAUAUAGCCAGUUCUAAUGAAAGCAACCGCAUUUUUUUCUGGGUAUGUUCCGCCUAUUGCUAAAUAGUAUAAUAUUUGCUAAAUAGUGAAUUAAAAUUUGAAGUUGCCUAAUGUAUUCCAAAUACUUACUAGGUAACGUAUUUAAUAAUCUUAUCUAACAAGAUAAGUUUUGUUUUUUGUUUUUAAAUAUGUCUGCUUUGUGUUUAUAUGGGGUUAUUCACAAAGGUGCAAAUUGUCAGGAAUUAAAAAUGAAUUGAAAGGGAUUUUCAGAUUUUAGGCCAAAUUAGCCAAACUGAAAACAUAGCCAAAAUAUUAAAAUUUGGCUGUUUGUACUUAAAAUUUCAAAUUCGUUUUAAAUCUAAUUUGAAUUUCCAACAAAUCACAUGUUGGGGAAUAACCUUGACAGUGUGUUUUGCUGCGGUUUGUUAGUAAUGUAUUCUUCUUCACUUAUUACAUAGGUUCUGAUUAAUUUGCUUUGUUUGUUGUCUAUUUUGUAUACAAAUUAAUCUGCGCUAUAACCAAUAAAUAUUUGUAGAACAACAAAAGAAACAAUUGUCAUCAUACACACAAAAAUGUACAAAUGACAUUGGGAUAGCCAUCAAUCACUACAAAAUGCAGUUAGGGCAGCACACCUAGUAUAUAUCUCUUCAAGAGAAAGUCAGUGGAUCACCACAAGAAAAAAACACUGUAUAUAUAAAGUCAGAAACAAUAAAUAGUGCUUGUGUCACUCAGGCUAAUAGUGUGUCAAAACACUACCAAAAAAAUGUACUAAAAAAAAUAAAAAUUCAGACAGAAAAGUUUAAAAAUUCAGAUUAAAACACUCAAAAAAUAGUAAAUAAAAAGAGCAAAUUACAAAUAUUACAUAAAUAUAAAUUACCUGCUUAUAUGGUUAUCAAAGUCCAUAAAAUAUAUAAAAAUUGCCUUAAUAUGUUGUCCAUAAAAUAUAUAAACAUGGAUAUAAAAAUGUGUUACGUUUGCUUUGUGCAGAACCAAGAGACUUUCUAGAUCAUUAUAUUUUUGGUUUCCCUUUUAACAAUGACAAAUUAUAGUUAUUGUUAUUUGAUACAUUUUGUUAAUAUGCAGUUCGUUACUUGCAAAGCUAUUCUACCCUCUCAAAAUAGUUUAUACCAGAUUAUUUUCUGAAAAGUAUUUUUACUUCCUUGCUGAAUAUGACGCACCACUCAUUGGAGAAUAAAAUAAAAUUCAUCUGAGGUCUAAAUUUCAGGUUAUCAAGACACCUUCGAGUUACAAUGUUUUAUUCAUAUGCUAAAUGGAUGGAUACCUUCAAACUUAUGCUACUCUGCAUAAUGAUCAUAAAUACUCAAGGUAAGACAACUUUUCUACUGUUAGUAAGAAUAUACAAAUGUCAAAUUAAUAUCCUUAGCAUUAGCAGUUUUUUUUUUUCAAUUUACAUUAUAUUAUUUGUUCCUUUUGAUUAUACAAACAAUAAACAAACAUAACACCAACGGCAGAACUGUAAUAAGAGGAGAAGGAAAAAAAAACACAAACACAAAUUGCUCUGUUUUUUUUUCCUUUACUUAAUUUUGCCACCUUUGUAUCAUUGCUUUUCCUCCAGUUUUUCCUUCCUUAUAUUCUGAAGUAGAGUUUGAUAGAAUUUGGAUAACUUUUUAUUACCUAAUAUAAUUUUUUAAAGGAUGCAGGGAUUCAAAUAUGCAUAUUCCUUUAAUGCCUAAGGUAUGUAAAUAUGAUCAUGUUUAAAGAUACAUAAUACAUUGUUUUUUUGAAAUAUCAUAUUUUCUACACAGUAUUUGAGUAUUUGAACAUUACAAAUACCUCUAGAGCAGCGAUGGCGAACCUAUGGCACGCGUGCCACAGCUAGUACGCUGGUUUGCAGCCUUAGGCCCACCGGCGGCAGGGCUGGACUGGCCCACCAGGAUACUGGGAAAUUUACCGGUAGGCCGCCUGCCUUGAGACCACUAUGUGCUUUGCCUGCACCCAACCACAAUAAUUACAGGUCUCUUUAACUAGAUAACCAUAACAUUUUAGAAAGUAAGUGGUUUGGUGGAAAUGACUGUUCUAACUAAACCCAAAAGAAACCAUUUUGAAGGUAACACCAAUUGUUCCGCUUUUAUACUUUUAUAGAUAAUUGGGCAGACCAGAUGGGCCGAAUGGUUCUUAUCUGCCGUCACAAAAAAAAAGAAAUUACUUAUUUUUUUUUCACUUUACCAUCAGUGUUUGUUCUGUUGGUCUAUUUUUCUUUCAAUGUCAAUCCUAACCCUGUUCCAUGUCAAAAAUAUCCACGGUUUUUGUAAACUUUGGCCUGCGGUAGGUACCUCCUUGUCACAGCCCCCCUAAGCUGUAGAGUGACCCGUCACUGAGAAUGUGUCGAGAGUAGACCCUCUUGUUGGGAAUGCUAGGGAACUUAGUCCAGGAACGUGUCUCAAGAUCAAAAACCACAAUGUGCUCACAGCGUAUUUGGACUGGCGGCCACCUGCAAGAUUUAAGUAGUGGUAAGAUUUUGUUUAAUGUAUGUAGCAAAAGCAGAGUCACAAUGAAAAAUGGAUAAUUGUGGUAUUAGGGUGGCAACCGCAAACAACAUCUAUGCUGCCCCAUAAGGCCAACUGAUGUGUAUGUCGUCACAACAAUUUAGUCCCGAAGCAUCCUGUCCCAGCAUAGAUUUUUCUGGUUAUUUAACACAGCUGUAUACAAAUCUUUAUAGACUAUAUUUUAUAAUUGAAAUAUUUAUCCAUUGAUCUUUAAGGUGAUAAAGUAUGUGUGAUCAUACCAGUGAGAACAGACAUUUGUUAUAGAUUCCGCAGAAAUUGUGGAGAGAAGGAUUGCCAUUCUUAUGAAGGCAGUGAGAGGCUGCUGCAUUGUCUAAAGGGGUGUUUGUGACUUUAUGUAGAUAUGUUCAAAACACAUGCAAAGCUAUUCACUAAAAGUCUGAAUUUGGUCCAGAUGGGAAAAAAAAACACAACCAAAUUUAAACUGGAUUUGCAAUUCUUAGUAAAUACCCCUGGAAAAGCCUAAUUGGCGAAACACGCAACGGGACUGUUAUGUAUAGGGUUGGACAAAAGACAUAGGAUGACAUUUUUCCUAUACUACCUGAGACAAUACCACCCAUACUAGACUUUUAUACAUUUAUUCAUUACACGCGUAUUCUCUGUUGCUCGUUUGAUUUUUCACCUCACCCAAGAGGUCUUCUCAGUUAAUUAUCUGUAUUAUCAUUCAUUAUUUUUUAUUUUCAUUAUAUAUUCUUUCAAGGAUAUUUUCUAUUUCCUCGGAUGGAAGGGGGGUUUAGCAUUUAUUAAGGGGUGCCCUCGAAAGCACAGUAGUGUAGAGACGGGCUGUACUUGCUCAUCUAUACUCUGAAUCUCAUUUCACUCUAAUAGACGACUUGCAACAUUAUAACCUUGUCUCACUUUAUGUUACCAUUUAUCAUGUUAUUUAUUUUUCGUUACUUAACCUUUUUAUAUUUAUUUUACACAUUGCUAAUUUCUGUGAUAUUAUUCUCCACAGUUUUAGAGUGGAUAGUCUCUGAUUUUUCUAUUUUUUUUCUAUUUUCCUUAUUUCAUCUUCUAUUUUUUAUUUUUGCUUCUUACAUUGUUUAAUUUCAUUUAUUCACUAUUAUAAGUUUAUUCUUAUUUAUUUAUACAUAUUUUUCUAUACCAAAGUUUUGUAGGAUUUAUUCCUAAUCUAGAUACUCUAUUUGAUCCUCUUUGAGAUUGAGGUUUUCAUACGCAUAUAUAUAUAUAUAUAUAUAUAUAUAUAUAUAUAUAUAUAUAUAUAUACAUACACACACAUCUCUGGCUGAAAACUAAAUAGAUUUGGGCCAAAAUGACUGCUUUGUAAUAUCAUUUAAGUUCCGGGACUCACAACCCACCUCUUUCCUUGUUGUAAGGCUGAAGUUCCAAAACAAGGUCUUUUACCUCCCCAGAUAAAUGUAUUCAUUUAUUUUUUUAAGAAAAGAGAAAGGUAACUCAGCUGGAAGAGUACAUGAUAUAUAGAUAUAUAACAUAAUCAUUUCAACACAAGCAAUUCUUCCCAACCAUGAUAAUUCAAAUUGUCAGAUUCCUUUCAUAUGGACAUUAUUUUUAAUUUUCGUAAAUCCUCUGUUAUAUUAAAAGACAAGGCAUUAGGUUUAUUAACAGCCAGUUUGUCAUAUGAAAUUUCAAACACGUCAUAUAAAGUGGUGAUUGAAUAAGGAAAUACGUGGGUUGCAAAUAGCUAAAAUUAUAUUGUCCGUAAAAAAAGUUCUGUGGUAUAUUCAUUCCCAUUAUAUAGGUAUUCUUUGAGUAUAUCCUAGUACAACCUUCAGAACUUCAGAUGUUGUAGAAUGCAUCUCCCUUGAUGCUUUGGCCACUUAUGGCUGUGAAAGCAUUAUGGGAGAUGUAGUCAGGGCCGCCAUCAGGGCAUGACUGCCAUAACGGUUGUAAUGGGCCUGGGGGGCCCGGACUGCUCAGGUGGCCCCAGGCCCCACAUUCAGUGGCGUACAUACCGGGAUCGCAGGGGGCCCGGCCGCCCUGCGACCCAGUAUGUAUGCCAGUGUGGCCAACCUCUUCUCAGGGCCCACCGAGGCUGGCCCUGGUGUCACCGGGCGGGCUGGCUGGCGCGCAAGGGAGCACGCUCCCCUGAGUGAUUCCUCUUCAGCUCCCUCUUGCACCGCAGUGAUACCGGAGCCGGAAUAUGACGUAAUCUUCCGGCUCCGGCAUCAGUACACUGCGCGCGAGCGAGCUGAAGAGGAAGCACUCAGAGAGAGAGUGCUCCCUCACGUGCCCGCCAGCCCGCCCGCAGGACCGGCCGCCGGGUGACACCACUGGACCCCAGGGAAUCCCCUCAGCACUUCCAAAGGUAGGGAGGCUGGGGGGAUAAAAUAAAAAAAAAGAAACGUGUGUGUGUGUGUGUGUGUUAGUGUGUGUUAGUGUGUGUGUGUCAGUGUGUGUGUUAGAGAGUGUGUGUUAGAGUGUUUCAGUGAGUGUGUUCCUGUGUGUGUCUGUUACUGAGUGUGUUAGUUUGUGUGCGUCUGUUAGUGAGUGUGUGUCUGUCAGUAAAUGUGUGUGUCUGUUAGCUAGUGUGUAUGCGUCUGUUCGUGAGAGUGUGUGUCUUACCUGAUCCGCCUCUCGGCUCCGAAUGCGCAUGCGUGGCAAGAGCCGCGCGCGCAUUCAAACCGUCCAUGAGAAAUAAAUUACUCAAUGGAAGGGGGAGAUCACGUUGGCUGGAGCCCUGGAGCCGGAGGUCCUGAGUAUUGGUGCAGCCCCCACUACCUGUAUUCUGCACGGGUCCCAGCACACUUGAAAUAUACUGGCCAGAUGCUCUGCUCUGUCAAAGUCUCAUUCCUCAGGACCUCCGGCUCCAGGGCUCCAGCCAAUGUGAUCUCCCCCCUCCAUGGCCACAGGUGAGAUACAGGGAGCGGGGAAUAAAACAAUACAAUUAAUGGAUGGAAAAAUAAACUGUAGGCUUUCCCCCCCACAUUUUGCAGCCCCAUACACUUACACACACUAUACACUAACAUUUACACACACUAUUCACUAACACACACACUAUACACUAACAUUUACACACACACUAUUCACUAACAUUUACACACACUAUACACUAACAUUUACACACUCUAUUCACUAACAUUUACACACACUAUACACUAACAUUUACACACACUAUUCACUAACAUUUACGCACACUAUUCACUAGCAUUUACACACACUAUACACUAACAUAUACACACACUCUGGAGUCACUACACAAACACACACACACUCUGCAGUCACUACACACACUACAUCCUUACACAAACACACACUCUGCAGUCACUACACACACUACUUCCUAACACAAACACACACUCUGCAGUACCUACACAAACACACACACACAGCAGUCACUACACACACUACAUCCUUACACAAACACACACUCUGCAGUCACUACACACACUACUUCCUAACACAAACACACACUCUGCAGUACCUACACAAACACACACACACUUUGUAGUCACUACACACACUACAUCCACUACACAAACACACAGUCUGCAGUCACUAUACACAUAUUAAAUACUUACACAAACACACACUAUGUAGUCACUAUACACACACUACAUCGACUACACAAAGACACACCCUGCAUCCACACACUGUAUUCACUAAACACUACAUCCACUAUACACACUCUGCAUUCACUACACACACACUACAUCCACUACACAAACACACACUCUGCAUUCACUAUACACAUCGCAUUUAAUACACACAAACACUACAUCCACUACACAAACACACAUACACACUCUGCAUUCACUAUAAACACACACUACAUCCACUACACAAACACACACUCUGCAUAUAAUAUACACCUCAUACAUUACACAAAUGUACAAUCUGCAUCCACUAUACACACUGCUUCCGUUAAACACACACCGCAUCCACUUAACCCACAAACUCUGCAUCCACUACACACAUUCUACAUCCACUAUACACACACCAGAAUCAGUACAGACACUGCAUCCCUGUGGGCGGACUCGGGGGGGGAGGGAGGCAGCACAUUGGGCGGACUCGGGUGCAGGCACCGUGGGGCCCAGACCUUGAGCUGUGUCAGGGGCCCCAAAAUUUCUGAUGGCAGCCCUGGAUGUAGUCCACAAUAGCUGGAGUGCCAAAGGUUGCCUAAACCUGCCCUAGUAGUUGGAGCUGAGUACAGGGCUAAUAUAGCUUUUUAAAAACAUAUAGGAAAUGCAAAAUGUUCUAAAACCUGAAAGAAAUAACCCCAAUGUACCCUGUUGAAAGUGUUCUGCAUCUAAGGAAAGUUGUAGAGAAAGUAUUCAGAAUUUAGGAAAGAAUAUCCACAAAUCAAUGCAUGCUAUAUGAGGUCUGUUAACAAACCGAGCUUGAUUUCUAUAUAUAAUACUUGGUACUAUAUUGAUACUUAAUGUGAAUAUUACUGUUAUGUUCCCGCCAUGGCAGGGCUGAGGUUUACUGGUAAAAUUAACAAAUGGAGUAAGAAUUUAGGGAAAAACAGCUAUAUUCAAAUUGUGUCCUGUUAUACAAGGAGGCACAAACACAUAUGUUACUAAGUAAAAAAAAAAAAAAACUGUAGUUGUAUCCCCAAAAGCAAUGCUGUAACAAACCAUAAACUCCAUCAUUAGGAUUUUAACACAAAAUAACCAUUGUCUAUGCUGUCUGUGGCAUUUUAUGCCUUAUGAGCACUUACACAUAGACGCUAUAUGAUACAAUUUAACUGUAUUUGAAUGUAUCUUUAAUUACCAACAUAGUAACAGGUCUGCUGUUUCCUUAAAGAGACUAAAGAUCCACCCUUACACAAUUUUAAAAAGUCAAGAAAAGUGUAAGCACACCUAUAUUUUAUAUCUAAUGUUAUAAUGAUAGUUAAUUCAAUGUUUGCAGAAGAUUAUACAUACAAUUACUAAAUGCAAAAGGCACUAAAGUAUUAACUUUAUUUAUAUUCAUAAUUUAAUGUAUUUAUACCUUUAGAUAAUGGUGACUUCUAUAGCUUAAUGAAGGAGUGUUGGUAUAUAGAUCAUGCCUCUUCAGUCUCACUGCUCAAUUUUCUGUCAUCUAGGAGUUAAACCACUUUGUUUAUGCAGCCCUAGCCACACCUGCAAGUAACAUGAAAAUCCUUCCUAAACAUAGAAACAUAGAAACAUAGAAUGUGACGGCAGAUAAGAACCAUUCGGCCCAUCUAGUCUGCCCAAUUUUCUAAAAACUUUCAUUAGUCCCUAGCCUUAUCUUAUAGUUAGGAUAGCCUUAUGCCUAUCCCACGCAUGCUUAAACUCCUUUACUGUGUUAACCUCUACCACUUCAGCUGGAAGGCUAUUCCAUGCAUCCACUACCCUCUCAGUAAAGUAAUACUUCCUGAUAUUAUUUUUAAACCUUUGUCCCUCUAAUUUAAGACUAUGUCCUCUUGUUGUGGUAGUUUUUCUUCUUUUAAAUAUAGUCUCCUCCUUUACUGUGUUGAUUCCCUUUAUAUAUUUAAAUGUUUCUAUCAUAUCCCCCCUGUCUCGUCUUUCCUCCAAGCUAUACAUGUUAAGAUCCUUUAACCUUUCCUGGUAAGUUUUAUCCCGCAAUCCAUGAACCAGUUUAGUAGCCCUUCUCUGAACCCUCUCUAAGGUAUCAAUAUCCUUCUGAAGAUACGGUCUCCAGUACUGUGUACAAUACUCCAAGUGAGGUCUCACCAGUGUUCUGUACAAUGGCAUGAGCACUUCCCUCUUUCUACUGCUAAUACCUCUCCCUAUACAACCAAGCAUUCUGCUAGCAUUUCCUGCUGCUCUAUUACAUUGUCUGCCUACCUUUAAGUCAUCAGAAAUAAUCACCCCUAAAUCCCUUUCCUCAUAUGUUGAGGUUAGGACUCUAUCAAAUAUUCUGUACUCUGCCCUUGGGUUUUUACGUCCAAGAUGCAUUAUCUUGCACUUAUCCACAUUAAAUGUCAGUUGCCACAAUUCUGACCAUUUUUCUAGUUUACCUAAAUCAUUUGCCAUUUGGCUUAUCCCUCCUGGAACAUCAACCCUGUUACAUAUCUUAGUAUCAUCAGCAAAAAGACAUACCUUACCAUCAAGACCUUCUGCAAUAUCACUAAUAAAAAUAUUAAAGAGAAUGGGUCCAAGUACAGAUCCCUGAGGUACCCCACUGGUGACAAGUCCAAGCUUCGAAUAUAUUCCAUUAACUACAACCCUCUGAUGCCUGUUACUCAGCCACUGCCUUACCCAUUCAACAAUAUUUGAAUCCAAACUUAAAGAUUGCAGUUUAUUGAUAAGCCUUCUAUGUGCAACAGUGUCUAUAAACACUUACUAUAAAGUGAGAUCUAAUGUUUACACUUCCUUUAUUGCAAAUUCUGUUUAAUUUAGAAUUUCAUAUCUCCUGCACUGUUAAAUGCUUGUAUGCCAGAAGAGGGAAAUAGCCCAUUAUUAUUAUUAUUGUCAUUUACAUAAUGCAAACAUAUUCAGCAGCGCUUUAUAAUAUUAUAAAAGGGGGAUAUUUAACAAUAAAUGAGAUAAUUACAAAACAUUACAGGAGCAAUAGGUAGAUGAGGACUCUGCUCAAACAAGCUUCUUAAUUUACAGGCCAAUAUGCAAGGAGGACAAGGAGUGGAAUAUAGUUUGUCACUUAUUGAUUGAAGAAUAGGUGAAAUGCAUUAGUGUUAUUUUACUUAGUAUUUUUAAUUUUAUGAGCUGUAUCUAAUAAAAUUUGUGAAUUUUUAUUGUGCCUUGAAACACCCAUAAGAUUUUUUUAUUACUUCUUGGAACAGCCCACAAGACUUGACAUUUUGGAAAUGCUCUGAUCCAGUCUUCUAGCCAUCACUAUGUGGCCCUCACCAAAGUCACUCAGAUAUUUUCGCUUGUCCAUUUUUCCUGCUUCUAACACAUGAAAUUCAACAUUUAGCGCUUCCUGGCUGGAGCAGGGGAAAAACCUUAGCACUUCUGCCCCAGUCUCCGUGGCUUGACUGGGGGGUCCUGGAGCGGGAUAGAGACAAUGAUUAACUCUUUUCUCCCCCAGUAACUGGAUGACACAUAGGUCUGGGAGUCUAACACAAAUACUUUAUUGGUACAGUCAAUUUAUACACAGAUAUUCGCAGGGGGUCUCCAUUCUAUUCAGCACAAGUCCCUCAGUCUCAGGCUGGAGGGGGAUGGUUUACAGAUAACCAUCUCCCGCUCUAGGAGAUACCAACAGUACAACAAUUACAUACAGUAAGACACAUCACAUAUAUUUGGAAAAACAUAGGGGGAUCCACCCCCCCGGGAUGGAAAUGGAGCACACACACAUAAAACAUACAUCCUGGGAUCCCAGCUAGGAUCCCUGCAAAUCAUUUCCAAGACAGGCGGCAUUAUAUGGUGAAACAGGCAUACAUAGUCCUGUUGGAGCUCCCACUCCUGGUUAGACAGAAAAGACAGAUCCGGCUGCAGUUCCGCUAUCUCUAUAAGGGCCAAGCUGUCUUCCCGCUCAACUCGGAUGCACCAGAAGCGGGAACUGUCAGUGUCUCCUAACACCAAACCAUCUUCAAAAACCUCCCACAAAAGACCAGGGCCAUUGUAGUCCUUCUUGAUGCAUUGGAGAUUGACUAGCCAAGGGUAGAUAGAGAAUGCAUGCCACUAAAAGGCUCAGAACGACUCAUCCAACCACACUUCGGUUAUGACAAGCGUCUCUAGUUCUAUUACCAAUUCCUCUAAUGGCUGGUCUCCCUGAAAUGGCAUCCGCAGCUUUAGUUGUUCCCAUCAGCGCUGGUUGGAGGUUGGGAGUUCCUCUCUCCUGAAGAAGAACGUUUCAAAUUGCCACCCUCCAUUCUGAUAUGCUCCUGUCCGAGAUAGGGUCAUCACUUCAGUGCCUUCCAUAUCCCCGUUCCCGUAGGUGGGUGUCCCCGAACAGGUGCUGGUUCCCCACAGCUUGGAAGCCAUCCCACCACUGCCAUCAAUUGUGGCAGAGCUCCCUGUACCCUGGCUGGGUACCUCCACCAGGAACUGCAGAGGAAAAACCUCAGCACUUCUGCCCAAGUCGCCAUGGCUUGACUGGGGUCCUGGAGCCUCUCCGCCAUGGAGCAGGCUAUGGACAGUGACACUCUGGUACUUUUACAUAGCACAGUAAUGUGCGAUAAAAGAAAGAUUCUUGGUGUGAGAGAGCCGCGUCCGGGCACUCACCAGAGUGUACUGCACAUAUAAAUGCAGAAAAUUUGGCAGAGUCAUUAAACAAUUUACUUAUAGAUAACAGAAACCGUCAGCGUAUUAGUUAUCAAAGAGGAUGUUUAAGCGUCCACUCUCUAAGGUUUUUUUCUCCCCCCAGUAACUGGACGACACACAGCUCUGGGAGAUACCAACAGUACAACAAUUACAUACAGUAAGACACAUCACAUACAUUGUGGAAAACUUACGGGGUUCCGCACCCUGGGAAGGAAAUGGGGCACACACAUAAAACAUACAUCCUGGGAUAGCCUCGGGCCCCAGGUAGAAUCACUGCAAAUAGUGGGGCUAUAGGAUGUACAAAGCCCGAGAAAUCAUUGUGUAAAGUCUGGGCUUGGGGCUCCAUACAUACCCGAAAACAGUUCCAUGGAAUUACUUGGUUUAGGCCGUUAAAUUCAAACUUCGAGCCUAAACCAGAGACAAAUCAGCGCUCAGGGAGGGGAGGCAUUCUGAGCUAAGCCCUUUAACUUGUGCCUGCCUUUCAGGGGAAAGCUCAGAAAACCAACUUGCACCAAUUGGUGCUCAGGCAGGGGAGGUGUUUUGCCGGCCAAUUUGAUUGAUAGCCCUUCUCCUAUUGGCUGGCACGGACUUCCAGGCGGCCAGCGGGACUCUGCGGCUGUGAAGCCAACUCACAGUUCCAGGGAUUCUGCUGGGGCUCGUGUCUCUCUCUGGUGGAUAUUUCCACAUAGUUAGCACCAGAGCGAGCUCUCUUUGGGCAGCCACUAGCCUGGACUCGUAGCUCCCAGAUAGGGAGCCCCUGCAGCCACUGUCUGCCUUGCUGACAGUCCGGCUGCAGGCAGGAGGCUCCUGGAUCUUCUCUGGCCAGUGAUUAUGGCUCCAUUAGGAGCAGGUAGGGCGAUCCCCCACAGGAGGACCUGAAAACAAUGAGGGCAAGCAAGUGGGCACGGUACUCAGUGACAGCAUUCCGUCACACAAGAAUUGACUGUUCAAUUGCUGCCUAAUAUAUCCCACCCCUAGACAGGUGCUUUUGUAACAAUAUAAUCAAUGUUAUUCACUUCACCUGUCGGUGGUUUUAAUGUUGUGGCUGAUCAGUGUAUUUAUUAUUAUAUUUUUAUUUUCCCAAAGUUAGUUUGUAGUUAUCAGGGCAUAUAAGAUAUAUGACAGUUUAUGUACAUAUCUAUAUGUAUGGAUAAAUAAUUGCCAGUUAAUUGGUUUCUCUCUAGCUGAUCCCUGUACAUUUCUUGAAUUUUCCAAUGGAGUUGUUGAAUAUUCUGGUUUUUUGCCUGGAUCAAUUGCAACUUUCACGUGUCAUGACGGGUGAGCUUACACAUAAUCAAUUAUUUUACAACCACACAUUUGCAAAGAAAUACAUGUAUGACAAUAAUCUUAUUUUUACCUAGGUAUCAUCUUAGUGAAGAUACAUCUAUGCAGUGUUUGGAAGAUGGUCAAUGGAAAGGCAUUCUCCCUAUGUGUCGACG
Molecule: non-coding RNA, 12123 nt
Organism: Pelobates cultripes (western spadefoot toad)
Lineage: Eukaryota; Metazoa; Chordata; Amphibia; Anura; Pelobatidae
Source: the annotation of a GenBank genome assembly